UAGGGAAUAUUAGAAAUGGACGAAAGUCUGAUCUAGCAACACCGCGUGUGCGAAGAAGGCCUUCGGGUCGUAAAGCACUUUUUGGAAGGAAUAGGAAGGAAUGUACUUCCAGAAUAAGUCCCGGCUAACUACGUGCCAGCAGCCGCGGUAACACGUAGGAGGCGAACGUUAUACGGAUUUACUGGGCGUAAAGCGCGUGUAGGUGGUACUGUAAGUAGGGCGUGAAAGCUCCUGGCUCAACUGGGAGAGGCCGUUCUAAACUACAGAACUAGAGGAUGGUAGAGGGAGGUGGAAUUCCAGGUGUAGCGGUGGAAUGCGCGGAUAUCUGGAGGAACACCGGUGGCGAAGGCGGCCUCCUGGACCAUUCCUGACACUCAGACGCGAAAGCUAGGGUAGCAAACGG
RNAcentral lists this ribosomal RNA (403 nucleotides) under uncultured bacterium. RNAcentral describes it as "bacterial SSU rRNA". It matches the Rfam family "Bacterial small subunit ribosomal RNA", at positions 355 to 775 of the family's 1533-position model. The record is from RNAcentral.